RNAcentral lists this ribosomal RNA (421 nucleotides) under uncultured bacterium. RNAcentral's name for it is "bacterial SSU rRNA". It matches the Rfam family "Bacterial small subunit ribosomal RNA", at positions 355 to 774 of the family's 1533-position model. The record is from RNAcentral.
UAAGGAAUAUUGGUCAAUGGACGCAAGUCUGAACCAGCCAUGCCGCGUGAAGGAUGAAGGUCCUCUGGAUUGUAAACUUCUUUUAUCUGGGACGAAAACGGGAUUUUUAUCUCAAUUGACGGUACCAGAGGAAUAAGCACCGGCUAACUCCGUGCCAGCAGCCGCGGUAAUACGGAGGGUGCGAGCGUUAUCCGGAUUUACUGGGUUUAAAGGGUGCGUAGGUGGGCUUAUAAGUCAGUGGUGAAAUCUCCGAGCUUAACUUGGAAACUGCCGUUGAUACUAUAGUUCGUGAGUACAGUUGAGGUAGGCGGAAUGUGUCAUGUAGCGGUGAAAUGCUUAGAUAUGACACAGAACACCGACUGCGAAGGCAGCUUGCUAAGCUGUAACUGACGCUGAGGCACGAAAGCGUGGGGAGCAAACA